This 253-nucleotide ribosomal RNA is filed under the name uncultured bacterium. RNAcentral describes it as "partial 16S ribosomal RNA". It matches the Rfam family "Bacterial small subunit ribosomal RNA", at positions 524 to 776 of the family's 1533-position model. The record is from RNAcentral.
UACGGGGGGGGCAAGCGUUGUUCGGAAUUACUGGGCGUAAAGGGCUCGUAGGCGGCCAACUAAGUCAGACGUGAAAUCCCUCGGCUUAACCGGGGAACUGCGUCUGAUACUGGUUGGCUUGAAUCCGGGAGAGGGAUGUGGAAUUCCAGGUGUAGCGGUGAAAUGCGUAGAUAUCUGUAGGAACACCGGUGGCGAAGGCGGCAUCCUGGACCAACACUGACACUGAGGAGCGAAAGCCAGGGGAGCAAACGGG